Molecule: ribosomal RNA, 481 nt
Filed under: uncultured bacterium
Lineage: Bacteria
Description: bacterial SSU rRNA
Rfam family: Bacterial small subunit ribosomal RNA
Source: RNAcentral
UAGAGUUUGAUCCUGGCUCAGAGCGAACGCUGGCGGCAGGCUUAACACAUGCAAGUCGAGCGGGCGUAGCAAUACGUCAGCGGCAGACGGGUGAGUAACGCGUGGGAACAUACCUUUUGGUUCGGAACAACACAGGGAAACUUGUGCUAAUACCGGAUAAGCCCUUACGGGGAAAGAUUUAUCGCCGAAAGAUCGGCCCGCGUCUGAUUAGCUAGUUGGUGAGGUAACGGCUCACCAAGGCGACGAUCAGUAGCUGGUCUGAGAGGAUGAUCAGCCACAUUGGGACUGAGACACGGCCCAAACUCCUACGGGAGGCAGCAGUGGGGAAUAUUGGACAAUGGGCGCAAGCCUGAUCCAGCCAUGCCGCGUGAGUGAUGAAGGCCCUAGGGUUGUAAAGCUCUUUUGUGCGGGAAGAUAAUGACGGUACCGCAAGAAUAAGCCCCGGCUAACUUCGUGCCAGCAGCCGCGGUACCCAAUCGCC